This 339-nucleotide ribosomal RNA is filed under the name Clinostomum sp. CLE1.1. Its description in RNAcentral is "SSU rRNA". It matches the Rfam family "Eukaryotic small subunit ribosomal RNA", at positions 415 to 756 of the family's 1831-position model. The record is from RNAcentral. RNAcentral also lists the same sequence under 8 other names. Lineage: Eukaryota; Metazoa; Platyhelminthes; Trematoda; Strigeidida; Clinostomidae.
UCCAAGGAUGGCAGCAGGCGCGAAAAUUACCCACUCCCGGCACGGGGAGGUAGUGACGAAAAAUACGGAUACGGGACUCAAACGAGGCUCCGUAAUUCGAAUGAGUACAAUUUAAAUCCUUUAACGAGGACCAAUUGGAGGGCAAGUCUGGUGCCAGCAGCCGCGGUAACUCCAGCUCCAAAAGCGUAUAUUAAAGUUGCUGCAGUUAAAAAGCUCGUAGUUGGAUCUGGGUUGUGCGUUCACGCGCCUUUACUUGUUUAUCAGCCUUGGUAAAUGCCCUGGCUGGUGUUCAAUUUGGUGUAGUGGGCGUGCUGCCUUUCAGCCGUGUCUGUGUAAACG